GCGCUGCGUCGCCAGGGGCAGCCUGUCGGAAGACUGGGCUGUCCUGGGCGUAUAAAGAGCGGUGUACGGUUCAGGGCCGUGAGGGAGCAGACAAAAGCUGCCGCGCGGUGC
This 111-nucleotide signal recognition particle RNA is filed under the name Caenorhabditis japonica. Its description in RNAcentral is "Metazoan signal recognition particle RNA". It matches the Rfam family "Metazoan signal recognition particle RNA", at positions 119 to 229 of the family's 299-position model. Rfam says of the family: The signal recognition particle (SRP) is a universally conserved ribonucleoprotein. The record is from Rfam by way of RNAcentral. Lineage: Eukaryota; Metazoa; Nematoda; Chromadorea; Rhabditida; Rhabditidae.